Molecule: transfer RNA, 90 nt
Filed under: Parvularcula bermudensis HTCC2503
Lineage: Bacteria; Pseudomonadati; Pseudomonadota; Alphaproteobacteria; Parvularculales; Parvularculaceae
Description: tRNA-Ser (GCT) (tRNA-Ser-GCT-1-1)
Rfam family: tRNA
About the family: Transfer RNA (tRNA) molecules are approximately 80 nucleotides in length. Their secondary structure includes four short double-helical elements and three loops (D, anti-codon, and T loops).
Source: RNAcentral
GGACAGGUGGCCGAGUGGUCGAAGGCGCUCCCCUGCUAAGGGAGUAGGCGAGGAAUCGUCUCGAGGGUUCGAAUCCCUUCCUGUCCGCCA